GACGAACGCUGGCGGCGUGCCUAAUACAUGCAAGUAGAACGCUGAAGAGAGGAGCUUGCUCUUCUUGGAUGAGUUGCGAACGGGUGAGUAACGCGUAGGUAACCUGCCUUGUAGCGGGGGAUAACUAUUGGAAACGAUAGCUAAUACCGCAUAACAAUGGAUGACACAUGUCAUUUAUUUGAAAGGGGCAAUUGCUCCACCACAAGAUGGACCUGCGUUGUAUUAGCUAGUAGGUGAGGUAAUGGCUCACCUAGGCGACGAUACAUAGCCGACCUGAGAGGGUGAUCGGCCACACUGGGACUGAGACACGGCCCAGACUCCUACGGGAGGCAGCAGUAGGGAAUCUUCGGCAAUGGGGGCAACCCUGACCGAGCAACGCCGCGUGAGUGAAGAAGGUUUUCGGAUCGUAAAGCUCUGUUGUAAGUCAAGAACGGGUGUGAGAGUGGAAAGUUCACACUGUGACGGUAGCUUACCAGAAAGGGACGGCUAACUACGUG
RNAcentral lists this ribosomal RNA (497 nucleotides) under uncultured bacterium. RNAcentral describes it as "partial 16S ribosomal RNA". It matches the Rfam family "Bacterial small subunit ribosomal RNA", at positions 28 to 507 of the family's 1533-position model. The record is from RNAcentral.